Molecule: ribosomal RNA, 460 nt
Filed under: uncultured bacterium
Lineage: Bacteria
Description: partial 16S ribosomal RNA
Rfam family: Bacterial small subunit ribosomal RNA
Source: RNAcentral
CCUACGGGAGGCAGCAGUGAGGAAUAUUGGUCAAUGGCCGGAAGGCUGAACCAGCCAUGCCGCGUGAAGGUCAGUGCCCUAUGGGCGUUAAACUUCUUUUGUGCGGGAGCAAUAAUGGUCACGUGUGGCCAGACGAGAGUACCGUACGAAUAAGCAUCGGCUAACUCCGUGCCAGCAGCCGCGGUAACACGGGGGAUGCAAGCGUUAUCUGGAUCUAUUGGGUUUAAAGGGUGCGUAGGCUGUGAGGUAAGUCAGCGGUGAAAUGCCCCCGCUCAACGGGGUGAAGUGCCAUUGAUACUGCCUUGCUGGAAUGCGAAUGCCGUGGGAGGAAUGUGUGGUGUAGCGGUGAAAUGCAUAGAUAUCACACAGAACACCGAUUGCGAAGGCAGCUCACGGAUCCGCGAUUGACGCUGAUGCACGAAAGCGUGGGUAUCAAACAGGAUUAGAUACCCGGGUAGUC